Oryza meridionalis is the source of this 198-nucleotide non-coding RNA. The record is from Rfam. NCBI's taxonomy places the organism in Eukaryota, Viridiplantae, Streptophyta, Magnoliopsida, Poales, Poaceae.
AAAAAGACGAACCCCGUGUUCAAUAUUUGACCGUCCGUCUUAUUUAAAAAAAAUAUAAAAAAAAGUAAAAAAACAAGUCACGUAUAAAGUAUUAAUCAUGUUUUAUUAUCUAACAACAAUGAAAAUACUAAUUAUAGAAAAAAUCAUAUAAGACGGACAGUCAAACGUUGGACACGAAAAUUUAGGGUUUGUGUUUUU